Lutra lutra (Eurasian river otter) is the source of this 925-nucleotide long non-coding RNA. RefSeq lists it as uncharacterized. The record is from RefSeq and is a predicted model, not a curated record. NCBI's taxonomy places the organism in Eukaryota, Metazoa, Chordata, Mammalia, Carnivora, Mustelidae. The transcript is spliced from 3 exons.
GCAUUCGGAGAGGAUGAGAUGAUGUGAGGUUAUUUGGGUCCCGGGGAAAGAUCUAGUCCCUCUAAUCCCCGGGGUCUCCACCAGUGGGAGUGAGUGUACAAGAGGAUAAAAAGGCCAAGAGAACCCCAAUUAGGUUUCAGAGCGAAUAGGACAGCGUCUCGCCGGUGUUCUCAUCGCCCACCUUGUACAGCCUGGAGGCAGAGGUAGGACAGCGACGACUAAUGAAGUGUCUGUUCUAGAUCAAUGUGGUGACAAAUGUUCUAGGACAACUUGGAUGGGUUUGGGUGCCCAGUUCUGAGGUCAGUCGCCAGUGAGGCGCUGUUGUAGGGGUUUUUUCGGACGUGAUCACCAUGUAAACGAGCACACGGUAAGUAAAGCCGGGGACCUUCCGGAAUGCGGGUAGACUUCCUCCAAGCCUCUGCAAGGCUCAAGAGCAAAACUGAGGUCCAGGUACCCUGAUGAGAAACUGUUCUGCCUCCAGAUGGUCUUCAGACUCAAGACUCCAUCCGCUCUUCCGUGGGUCUGCAGACUGCCUGCCCGCCUUGCAGAUUUGGGACUUGCCAGCCCCCACAAGCACGUGAGUAUAUAAAUAGGCAAUGUGCAUCCUAUUGGUUCUAUUUCUGUGGAAAACCCUGAGUGAUACAGUGGGUAAGUCUAAAGGGGCACCCUGAGCCCGCAUUGCCGGCCCGUCCUGCCCAGCAGUUCCUGGAUAGAGACCUGCAGCACAUCUGAAACGAGGAGUCGGGAAGACGGGGCUGCGGAAGACAGGAACUUCGCGACCAAAAAUGAAAACUAUACAAAACCAGGCUUGGCUGAUGUAUGUGAAGAUAGAGUAAAUAAAACACAGAACGAUGUAUCUAUCUGCUUGUUUCUGGGAACUUGAUGAAGUCCCCAACAGAGAUGAGCCCUCAGUCCUGGGAAGGAG